GUCUUUUUGAAGUUAAUAUAAAGUCUAACCUGCCCACUGAAAAUUUAAAUGGCCGCAGUAUUUUAACUGUGCAAAGGUAGCAUAAUCAUUAGUCUUUUAAUUGAAGGCUGGUAUGAAUGGUUGAAUGAGAUAUUAACUGUUUCGAUAUAAUUUUUAGAACUUUAUAUUUUAGUGAAAAAGCUAAAAUAUUUUUAAAAGACGAGAAGACCCUAUAAAUCUUUAUAAUUUUAAGUUUAUAAUUAUUUAGAAAAUUUUAUUAAUAAACUAAAAAAUUAUUUUAUUGGGGUGAUAUUAAAAUUUAAAUAACUUUUAAUGUUUAAUUAACACUAUUUAGUGAAUUUAUGAUCCAUAAUUAAUGAUUAAAAUAUUAAGUUACUUUAGGGAUAACAGCGUAAUUUUUUUGGAGAGUUCUUAUUAAUAAAAAAGAUUGCGACCUCGAUGUUGGAUUAAGAUAUAAAUUUAGGUGUAGUGGCUUAGAUUUUGAGUCUGUUCGACUUAUAAUUUCUUACAU
Molecule: ribosomal RNA, 511 nt
Filed under: Phora stictica
Lineage: Eukaryota; Metazoa; Arthropoda; Insecta; Diptera; Phoridae
Description: partial 16S ribosomal RNA
Rfam family: Bacterial large subunit ribosomal RNA
Source: RNAcentral